This 262-nucleotide unclassified non-coding RNA is filed under the name Hevea brasiliensis (rubber tree). The record is from RNAcentral. Lineage: Eukaryota; Viridiplantae; Streptophyta; Magnoliopsida; Malpighiales; Euphorbiaceae.
AUGAGACACAAAGAGCAAGGUCUUCAAAGACGCCUUUUGAGGGUGAUGAGAAUACUAGAGGCACUUGAAGGUAAAGGUUGUCGAUUGCCUUUGAUGAAAGGAGAAGCUGAAUUGGCAGAGAAGUUGGCAGCCAUCACGAGACAGUUAAAAGGUUCUGGAGCAGAACUUUCUAGGAGGGUUCAGAAUCUGCUCACCAUAUGUCGUGUUCAAAAUGGCCUAGGAAGUGGUUCUGUUUAUCUCCCUGGCUCAACUAAGAUCCAUG